Triticum aestivum (bread wheat) is the source of this 129-nucleotide non-coding RNA. Lineage: Eukaryota; Viridiplantae; Streptophyta; Magnoliopsida; Poales; Poaceae. The record is from Rfam.
AAAGCCCUGCCGUCCCAAAAUCUUGUCUUGGAUUUGGCUAGAUAUGGAUGUAUUUAAUACUAAAAUCUGACUUGAUACAUCCGUAUUUAGACAAAUCUAAGACAAGAAUUUUAGAACGGAGGGAGUAAU